Molecule: ribosomal RNA, 660 nt
Filed under: uncultured bacterium
Lineage: Bacteria
Description: bacterial SSU rRNA
Rfam family: Bacterial small subunit ribosomal RNA
Source: RNAcentral
AGUGGCGGACGGGUGAGUAACGCGUGAGAAUCUGCCUUGGUCUCGGGGACAACCACUGGAAACGGUGGCUAAUACCGGAUAAGCCGAUUGGUGAAAGAUUUAUUGCCCGAAGAGGAGCUCGCGUCUGAUUAGCUAGUUGGUGAGGUAAGAGCUCACCAAGGCAGCGAUCAGUAGCUGGUCUGAGAGGACGAUCAGCCACACUGGGACUGAGACACGGCCCAGACUCCUACGGGAGGCAGCAGUGGGGAAUUUUCCGCAAUGGGCGAAAGCCUGACGGAGCAAGACCGCGUGAGGGAGGAAGGCUCUUGGGUUGUAAACCUCUUUUCUCAGGGAAGAAGCUCUGACGGUACCUGAGGAAUCAGCCUCGGCUAACUCCGUGCCAGCAGCCGCGGUAAUACGGAGGAGGCAAGCGUUAUCCGGAAUUAUUGGGCGUAAAGCGUCCGCAGGUGGCGAUUCAAGUCUGCUGUCAAAGCACGGGGCUUAACUCCGUAAAGGCAGUGGAAACUGAAUAGCUAGAGUGCCGUAGGGGUAGAGGGAAUUCCCGGUGUAGCGGUGAAAUGCGUAGAGAUCGGGAAGAACAUCGGUGGCGAAAGCGCUCUACUGGACGGCAACUGACACUCAGGGACGAAAGCUAGGGGAGCGAAUGGGAUUAGAUACCCC